RNAcentral lists this ribosomal RNA (492 nucleotides) under uncultured bacterium. RNAcentral's name for it is "partial 16S ribosomal RNA". It matches the Rfam family "Bacterial small subunit ribosomal RNA", at positions 29 to 507 of the family's 1533-position model. The record is from RNAcentral.
AGUGAACGCUGGCGGUAGGCCUAACACAUGCAAGUCGAACGGCAGCACAGUAAGAGCUUGCUCUUACGGGUGGCGAGUGGCGGACGGGUGAGGAAUACAUCGGAAUCUACUUUUUCGUGGGGGAUAACGUAGGGAAACUUACGCUAAUACCGCAUACGACCUACGGGUGAAAGCAGGGGAUCUUCGGACCCUGCGCGAUUGAAUGAGCCGAUGCCGGAUUAGCUAGUUGGCGGGGUAAAGGCCCACCAAGGCGACGAUCCGUAGCUGGUCUGAGAGGAUGAUCAGCCACACUGGAACUGAGACACGGUCCAGACUCCUACGGGAGGCAGCAGUGGGGAAUAUUGGACAAUGGGCGCAAGCCUGAUCCAGCCAUACCGCGUGGGUGAAGAAGGCCUUCGGGUUGUAAAGCCCUUUUGUUGGGAAAGAAAAGCAGCAGGUUAAUACCCCGCUGUUCUGACGGUACCCAAAGAACAAGCACCGGCUAACUUCGUG